AUUGAACGCUGGCGGCAUGCCUAACACAUGCAAGUCGAACGGUAACAGAACUAGCUUGCUAGUUGCUGACGAGUGGCGGACGGGUGAGUAAUGUAUAGGGAUCUGCCUAGUAGUGGGGGACAACAUGUGGAAACGCAUGCUAAUACCGCAUACGCUCUACGGAGGAAAGUGGGGGACCUUUCGGGGCCUCAUGCUACUAGAUGAACCUAUAUUGGAUUAGCUAGUUGGUAAGGUAAUGGCUUACCAAGGCGACGAUCCAUAGCUGGUUUGAGAGAAUGGUCAGCCACACUGGGACUGAGACACGGCCCAGACUCCUACGGGAGGCAGCAGUGGGGAAUAUUGCACAAUGGGCGCAAGCCUGAUGCAGCAAUGCCGCGUGUGUGAAGUAGGCCUUAGGGUUGUAAAGCACUUUCAGACGUGAGGAAAAGUUAUAAGUUAAUAACUUAUAACCUUGGCGUUAACGUCAGAAGAAGGACCGGCUAACUCCGUGCCAGCAGCCGCGGUAAUACGGAGGGUCCAAGCGUUAAUCGGAAUUACUGGGCGUAAAGCGCGCGUAGGCGGAUAUUUAAGUCAGAUGUGAAAUCCCUGGGCUCAACCUAGGAACUGCAUUUGAUACUGGGUAUCUAGAGUAUGGUAGAGGUGAGUGGAAUUUCAGGUGUAGCGGUGAAAUGCGUAGAGAUCUGAGGGAACAUCAGUGGCGAAAGCGACUCACUGGGCCAUUACUGACGCUGAGGUGCGAAAGCGUGGGUAGCAAACAGGAUUAGAUACCCUGGUAGUCCACGCCCUAAGCGAUGUCAACUAGUUGUAUGGGAGUUUAACUCCUGUGUAUCGAAGCUAACGCGAUAAGUUGAC
This 852-nucleotide ribosomal RNA is filed under the name uncultured bacterium. Its description in RNAcentral is "bacterial SSU rRNA". It matches the Rfam family "Bacterial small subunit ribosomal RNA", at positions 28 to 869 of the family's 1533-position model. The record is from RNAcentral.